UACGGAAGGCAGCAGUGGGGAAUAUUGCACAAUGGGCGAAAGCCUGAUGCAGCUAUGCCGCGUGUAUGAAGAAGGCCUUAGGGUUGUAAAGUACUUUCAUCGGGGAGGAAAAACAAAACUAAUAAUUUUAUUUCUUGACGUUACCCGAAAAAGAAGCACCGGCUAACUCCGUGCCAGCAGCCGCGGUAAUACGGAGGGUGCUAGCGUUAAUCAGAAUUACUGGGCGUAAAGAGCACGUAGGUGGUUUUUUUAAGUCAGAUGUGAAAUCCCUGGGCUUAACCUGGAACUGCAUUUUGAAACUGAAAUACUAGAGUAUCGUAGAGGGAGGUAGAAUUCUAGGUGUAGCGGUGAAAUGCGUAGAUAUCUGGAGGAAUACCUGUGGCGAAAGCGGCCUCCUAAACGAAUACUGACACUGAGGGUGCGAAAGCGUGGGGAGCAAACGAGGGAUUAGAUACC
RNAcentral lists this ribosomal RNA (456 nucleotides) under uncultured bacterium. Its description in RNAcentral is "bacterial SSU rRNA". It matches the Rfam family "Bacterial small subunit ribosomal RNA", at positions 340 to 786 of the family's 1533-position model. The record is from RNAcentral.